UAGACUUGUAUUCAAACUCUGGCCUGCCAAUAUGUCAGAAAAGAAUGGAAUAUUAGAUUCAUAUUUACUUUUGAAGUUAGAUAUAGAAGUUGCAUUUCAACUUUACCAACCACCAAAAUUUAACUUGAAUCUGCAUAUCGUUAGUAACAAAAUAUUUUCAUGCAUUAUAGUAUAUAAAUGACUAAAAUAUGAAACCUUAUAACAUGUGAUUUGGACAAAACAGAACGCAUACUUAACAUUGAUACCAAAAAAAAAAAAAAAAAACAGAACGCAUCUUUUACUAUACGGCGUUGUUUGACUCUUUAGUCACGCAAUCUAAUGUAACGAGUGGGUUCACGCGCCGAAUCUACAUGGUGGCACCCACUUUUGAUUGUGAUAUCUUCCCAUGUUGGUAAGUGGGACCCACUUUUCUUUGGAUUAGAUUUUCAUCAUUUCAACGAGUGAAUUGUGUCGUUUUGUGGCAUCACGCAACGCGAUCACCGUCAUCAAUUAUUAGCCGUUGAUUAAGGUUUACAUCUAUUCCAUCGGACGGUUGUCACGACUUCAUUGCACUUACCUCUAAUCUCCACCGUCUAAAUAAUUAACUAGAGUUAAAAAAAGUCAAGAGAAAGUUGACUUACAAAGGAAAUCGAUGACGAGGCGU
Arabidopsis thaliana (thale cress) is the source of this 643-nucleotide long non-coding RNA. RefSeq annotates it as other RNA. The record is from RefSeq. NCBI's taxonomy places the organism in Eukaryota, Viridiplantae, Streptophyta, Magnoliopsida, Brassicales, Brassicaceae. The transcript has a single exon.